AGAUGUUGGCACUGCAGCUGAUGAUCUUCUAUAUGAUCUUUGGACUCGGGCCGGCAGGUGACUGAGGGAGUUGCUACCAUGCUCGCCAGAAUCCCUUCAAUUCUUCAUCUGUAAAUUAAUUCUCUUUCAUAGUUUCAUGACAAAUAAAUUAAAAAUAAAGAUAAACCAAUUUGGAAGACAAUCAAAACGAAACAAGGAAAGGACCAUAAAAGACAAAAUGAACUAAAAAUUCUAUAAAUUUACUUUCUUACAAGAGUGAAAGUGUUGUUUCAACAUAUAAGUGCAUGCAUAUGAAAUAAGAGAGAAAUAAUU
This 312-nucleotide long non-coding RNA is filed under the name Erythranthe guttata (spotted monkey flower). RNAcentral's name for it is "long non-coding RNA (EGUT_LNC002697)". Lineage: Eukaryota; Viridiplantae; Streptophyta; Magnoliopsida; Lamiales; Phrymaceae. The record is from RNAcentral.